This is a long non-coding RNA of Mandrillus leucophaeus (drill), 1194 nucleotides long. RefSeq lists it as uncharacterized. NCBI's taxonomy places the organism in Eukaryota, Metazoa, Chordata, Mammalia, Primates, Cercopithecidae. The transcript has 2 exons. The record is from RefSeq and is a predicted model, not a curated record.
CCCCAGCGCUGACCUCCACGCCUGGACCCCUGGCCGCCCCGACAAGCUUCGCCGAGGUGCCGACCGACCGACUGAUCGCGGACGCCGGCUGCAUGGACUACGGAUCCGCAGGAAGAGACAGUGGGGGGCCAGGGGCCCAGUAGAGGAGGCUGAGCUCCUUCCAACUCCUCAGAGCCUCCACUCUAUGGAUCUGGACUCCUGGAUUCGGCUUUCUCCCCGGGCACUUUCAGGAAGACGUUGAGAAUUGACCUUACACAAUCCCAGCGCCCUCCUCACAGGAGCCUUUCACUUCACAGUGACAAGGGGCUGGUUCUGGGGAACUGGCCGAGGCUCUGAAUUUCUUCAUAUACCCCACGUUUGACUUUGGCUUACACGGUACAACUGGAGAUGUUGCUACAGGUCCCUGAGAUGCAGUCAGAUCAAGCGUAGCAAGCAUUGCCAAUGGGAAACUCAAAAGAAUUUACUUAUUUUUCCCUUUCCCCCUACCCCCUCCCCAGCCAGGAAUUUCUUUCAAAGAUACCGUCAUCAUUCUUAAACAACACUCUUAACCCCCAGCCGGGGUCCUCAUUUUAGUAGAUGUCAUUGCUUCAAGUCUAAUGGUACCGGGAGGCCUGUUUGAGGGAAAAUAUUAGUUUGAAAAAUCCCUGUUUCCUUCAUCCACUGCCCUUGUUCUCUCCACAUGGGAGUAUGCCUGUGGCCCCUCAGAAAGUCUGCUAGCUUCUAGGGGUUGGGAUGGGGGACACACCUUUUUCUCAGGAAGAGGUGGUGGCGAUGUAAAACAUCUAAGCAAAGUUUUAAAUGGAAAAAAAGGAAGCACAUUUAAAUAUCCUGAUAAUGGAGGGAAGGGGGCACAUUUACACACAGCCCAGAACUUGUAGAAUUCUGCGAAGUGAAUGUAUAUUGAAUUAGUCUCCUGCCUUAUACAUUCAGGAAGAAUAAAUUUCCAUAAUGUAAGGCAAAUGCAUGGGGUUCUGAGGUUUACUUUGUAAGUGUCCUUGCUGCCUUUCCUCUGUGUCUAUUAUGGCUCUUUAAGUUGACAGUUCCUGGAGCAGCUUCUAUUUAAUUUCGUUUGGCAGUCUGGCCCUGUUGACUGACUUUGAUUUGCAGACCAAUUCUGCCUUGACCUGACUCACAGCCACCUGCUCUUACCCCCCUCCUCAGGAAGUCUUCCUCAUUAAAGGAUGUGAUGAGGGA